This 316-nucleotide long non-coding RNA is filed under the name Volvox carteri. Its description in RNAcentral is "long non-coding RNA (VCAR_LNC003030)". The record is from RNAcentral. Lineage: Eukaryota; Viridiplantae; Chlorophyta; Chlorophyceae; Chlamydomonadales; Volvocaceae.
AGGAAUCUCCUCAAGUCCUGCCGAACGCUAACAAUACUCUUUACAUAACUUGUAACAGUUUAUCGUGCUAAAUAUCUUCGCCACCGGCAAUCCUUCCGGAAUAACAAUCAGUGUUAGCCGUCACCGUCGCCAAUUCUUCAAUAGUAUGACCGCUCAGAACUUUUCAAUGUGCGGUUGUUGGAGCCAUGGGAGCGCUUCAACAUCAUGGGCAUCAAGGGACAGUCUCUUCGACCGACUGAAGUUGGCACGCUAACGAUUCGGUCUAACAUCAACGAUAAACAGGCCAUCACUUUCAAGAAGGUCUACGUCGACGAGG